GCACCCAUAGCUCAGCUGGAUAGAGUAUCUGACUACGAAUCAGAGGGUCGGGCGUUCGAAUCGCUCUGGGUGCACCA
Molecule: transfer RNA, 77 nt
Filed under: Sulfitobacter sp.
Lineage: Bacteria; Pseudomonadati; Pseudomonadota; Alphaproteobacteria; Rhodobacterales; Roseobacteraceae
Description: tRNA-Arg
Rfam family: tRNA
About the family: Transfer RNA (tRNA) molecules are approximately 80 nucleotides in length.
Source: RNAcentral